Molecule: ribosomal RNA, 500 nt
Filed under: uncultured bacterium
Lineage: Bacteria
Description: partial 16S ribosomal RNA
Rfam family: Bacterial small subunit ribosomal RNA
Source: RNAcentral
AUUGAACGCUGGCGGCAGGCCUAACACAUGCAAGUCGAGCGGAUGAGAGGAGCUUGCUCUUCGAUUCAGCGGCGGACGGGUGAGUAAUGCCUAGGAAUCUGCCUAGUAGUGGGGGACAACGUUUCGAAAGGAACGCUAAUACCGCAUACGUCCUACGGGAGAAAGUGGGGGAUCUUCGGACCUCACGCUAUCAGAUGAGCCUAGGUCGGAUUAGCUAGUUGGCGGGGUAAUGGCUCACCAAGGCGACGAUCCGUAACUGGUCUGAGAGGAUGAUCAGUCACACUGGAACUGAGACACGGUCCAGACUCCUACGGGAGGCAGCAGUGGGGAAUAUUGGACAAUGGGCGAGAGCCUGAUCCAGCCAUGCCGCGUGUGUGAAGAAGGUCUUCGGAUUGUAAAGCACUUUAAGUUGGGAGGAAGGGCAGUAAGUUAAUACCUUGCUGUUUUGACGUUACCGACAGAAUAAGCACCGGCUAACUCUGUGCCAGCCGCCGCGGUAA